UAGUUUUUUUGGUUUGUUUGUUUUCUAUGUUUUGUUUUUUUAUGCCGGCUUCAAUUUAAUAAAAUUUUCUGAAACUGAUUCAAACAAAAAAGUGAAAACAAUCGUUCAUACAACAGAAACCAAAUAAAACAUACAACAGCUAAGUAAAUUACCCUAUAUUUUGUUUACCCUAAAUGACUGCCUUAUCCAAAUGCACUGACCCGAAUCUCUUUCUUUUUUUCUAUGGUAUCUGAAAGUUUGCUUUAAUUUUCCUUCUUUUUAUCUACAAACAUGGUAAAAUCGAGACAAAUGCUUGAGAGUAUUUUUGUAUAAAUUUUACACUAAUGGUAAGCGGUGUGUUUUAAGGUGAACAAGCCAUUGUGUCCCAUGCACUAACAACAGCAAUGUAGAUUUACAUGAGAAGAAACAGACUUUCUAAACACCCAUGGUAUAUCAUCCACCAUAUAGAAACCAAAAAUGUGAUACAAGGGUGUCCUCAAAACACUGAUUAUAUUAGGGGUUUUGACAUUUUAUGACUUGACUCAUCUUAGAUACUGCUAUUAUACAAUGCUUAUGUUUUUAAUAAAUAUGACAUUUUUAUUUGUAAUAUGUACUGGGGUGGGAUAUAUGACAAGGGGAUCUUUAAUUGUUUCUGUAUCACAGUUUGGUGUAAUCUUUUAUUGAAAUUGUUUGCAAUGGUGCUAUGCCUACUUACCAAUUUAAUGUAUACAUAUAGUGCAAUAUUAAUCUCAAACAGCAUUUUAUGUUUGUUAAGAUAUCCUUCCUGUUUGGUCCUGCUAAUAUUAACAGAUAUUUUUUUUUUUGUAUUGAUAAUGCUUGAAUUAUUGUUAUUGAGUUCCACGGAGCAGGAGAAGAACUUUGUUACUGUUUUAUUUUGGAUUUGUGUUUUUUUUUUUCCAAGCAGCAAUGGAUAUUAAAUGCCCUAUUUGUGGCUGGUGCUUACAGUAUUUACUAGAUAGUGUGCAGAAACAGUGUCCUAAAUCUGACAUUACAUUCCAAAACACUCAAUGAAUAAGUCAAACUUGAAAUAAAUAAAGACAUUUUGGGGGGGGGGGGAUUUUACCAAAAGUAUUUUUUAGUUAAAUGGAAACUAUAGUGCCGGGAAAACAAACUUGUUUUGUUGCAGUAAACCCUCAAAGGUAAUUAUUGCAAUUUCUUUAAAACUGCAAUAAUUGCCUUUGUAGGGUUAAAGGACCUGAUAUAUUGUCCCUUUAAGUCAUUUUAAAAUAAAUAAUUAAAAAUAAUAUAGAGUACUUAUUUCAAGACACCAACAUACAUUUUAUUUUUUAUUUUUUUAUAUUAAAAUGUAUUGCAGAUAAAAUUAUGUUAUAAUUACUAGUACACUCAUUUCAAAAAGUCAUCUUAGAUGAAUUAAUUCAGUAUUUGCCUUGUGUCCACAGCGGGUGCUGUCACACAAAAGUUGACACAUGUUUUAAACCUAUAAUUUUCUUUGAACUGGUGUGAUGUACAGUUUCAUUCAAACAUCCACUUAAUAUUGACAGUUUUGAUUAGUAAAUUAGUGAUCAGUUUUGGAAUAAAAAGAUCAGCUUUAACAAAAACGUAUUUCAUGAACAAAGAACAUGAGGACUCUGAGAAGGGGCACUCCUAAAUAGCAAAACAAAUAGCAGCUUUUGACCCAAAAAAGCUGCUAUUUUUUGCUAUGGACCAUUAAUUUUUUUUACAUGUCUGGAAUGGGGACUUAGCCAGCCCUGGUUACGGAGCAUCUGAGCUGCUAGAUGAGUGCGGUAUCGAGAACGUUUCUUCUAGAUAUUAAACUGUGACAAGCUGGGUAAAAAAAAACAAUAAAUCUAAAGGAGGAGACUAUAUUUAAAAGAAGAAAAACUACCACCACAAGAUGACAUAGUCUUAAAUUAGAGGCGCAAAGCUAUAAAAAUAAUUUCAGGAAGUAUUACUUUACAGAGAGGGUAGUGGAUGCAUGAAAUGGUUUUCCAGCUGAAGAGGUAGAGGUUAACACAGUGAGGGAGUUUAAGCAUGCGUGGGAUAGGCAUAUGGCUAUCCUAGACUUAAGAUAAGGCCUGUGAGUAAUGAAAGUAUUUAGAAAAUUGGGCAGACUAGAUGGGCCAAACGAUUCUUAUCUGCCGUCACAUUCUAUGUUUCUACCUAGCAAUGACAUUUCCAUUAGUCAAACUAUGCUAUCAUACAUGAUACAACCCUUUAACUUACAUUAAAAUAACCCAAUAGCAGCUAGAAAAACUAUUAAUACCCAUAUUGUCUGCAGCAUUGAAAAAAAAAUGGGCUCAUUACAUCCACUUCACUUCAAGACAUGGACUGGAGUGCUUGGAUAAUUUUUUGUAUUUAAUUCUUAUUUGCUUGCAGGUUCUUCUAAUAGUUUUAUGAGGAGUUUCCUAUUACAUUAUUAGACCUAUCUCAUUUAAAGAAGAUACAGAAAUCAAGGGCUUUAAGCAGACAAUAUUCAAAGGAUGAAUAUUUGUUUCCACUUUUGCUGAAAUUAUGGAAAGCACUCCCCCAUAUCUAUAAAUAAUGGUGUUCAAAUUGGGCUAGUUAUAAAUUAUAGUUUUCAAAUUUCAGGGCUAAAUUUGCAUACGUAUUAAUGUGAAUCUGACUCCUUAUCUGCAUUACAGGGAAAAAGAUCAUACAUGCUAGAAUAAUCAAGGGAUAUGCACUAUCUCUAAAGUGAAAAUUGUCAGGAAUUCAAAGUAAAUUUCACAUUUAUGGUCAACAUAGCUGACUUCCAGUUUGUUUCCAGUUUGGCUACUUUGGCUUCAAAUUUGAAAAUUAAUUUUGAAUACACUUCAAAUCCCUGGCAAUUUUCACUUUAGUGAAUAACCCUGAUAGCGUAGUUCUUGUAUACAUUAUAUAUUUGCACAUGGUUUUGAGAUUUUGCACAUUUUCUUUAUAUAUAACAUGUCUUCUAAAAGACUUGUUACAGCCAUUUUGUUAAUUUUGCCUUUCACUUGCAAAGCAACUAUGAGGAAAUCAUUAAUCAAACAGGUAAUAUAUUACUUGAAUCUGUUUAAAAAAAAAAAAUCAACAAUAUGUGGGGGUUUUUCAAGACAUGUGUGAUUCCUCCCUCCCUCCCUACGCAAACUAAUGACAUCAUUGAGUCUAGGAGACACUUUGAGGAGUUCCAGAGUUUAUUUUGUGUCACAAUGAAACAAGAUUUAACCCUGUUCUGCACACUAUUUGGGCCCCAGUUUGUGGGUGGCUGAUACACGAUUAAGUGUUUUUAUCCUGUUCAGCCAGAGCUGACUGCCUAUGUUUUUGCUGACUGCAUAACACAGAGACAGUUUCCUAAUAAAAUAUCUGAACUCUG
Long non-coding RNA from Pelobates fuscus (common spadefoot toad), 3295 nucleotides. RefSeq lists it as uncharacterized. The transcript has 2 exons. Lineage: Eukaryota; Metazoa; Chordata; Amphibia; Anura; Pelobatidae. The record is from RefSeq and is a predicted model, not a curated record.